This 31-nucleotide non-coding RNA is filed under the name Rattus norvegicus (Norway rat). Lineage: Eukaryota; Metazoa; Chordata; Mammalia; Rodentia; Muridae. The record is from RNAcentral.
UUCAAGGAUUGAUCCCGCUACCUGGGCUUAG